This 497-nucleotide ribosomal RNA is filed under the name uncultured bacterium. Its description in RNAcentral is "partial 16S ribosomal RNA". It matches the Rfam family "Bacterial small subunit ribosomal RNA", at positions 28 to 507 of the family's 1533-position model. The record is from RNAcentral.
GAUGAACGCUGGCGGCGUGCCUAAUACAUGCAAGUCGAGCGAACAGACGAGGAGCUUGCUCCUUUGACGUUAGCGGCGGACGGGUGAGUAACACGUAGGUAACCUACCUAUAAGACUGGGAUAACUUCGGGAAACCGGAGCUAAUACCGGAUAAUAUUUCGAACCGCAUGGUUCGAUAGUGAAAGAUGGCUUUGCUAUCACUUAUAGAUGGACCUGCGCCGUAUUAGCUAGUUGGUAGGGUAACGGCUUACCAAGGCAACGAUACGUAGCCGACCUGAGAGGGUGAUCGGCCACACUGGAACUGAGACACGGUCCAGACUCCUACGGGAGGCAGCAGUAGGGAAUCUUCCGCAAUGGGCGAAAGCCUGACGGAGCAACGCCGCGUGAGUGAUGAAGGUCUUCGGAUCGUAAAGCUCUGUUAUUAGGGAAGAACAAAAGUGUAAGUAACUGUGCACGUCUUGACGGUACCUAAUCAGAAAGCCACGGCUAACUACGUG